RNAcentral lists this ribosomal RNA (497 nucleotides) under uncultured bacterium. Its description in RNAcentral is "partial 16S ribosomal RNA". It matches the Rfam family "Bacterial small subunit ribosomal RNA", at positions 28 to 507 of the family's 1533-position model. The record is from RNAcentral.
GAUGAACGCUGGCGGCGUGCCUAAUACAUGCAAGUCGAGCGAACAGACGAGGAGCUUGCUCCUCUGACGUUAGCGGCGGACGGGUGAGUAACACGUGGAUAACCUACCUAUAAGACUGGGAUAACUUCGGGAAACCGGAGCUAAUACCGGAUAACAUGUUGAACCGCAUGGUUUAACAGUGAAAGACGGUCUUGCUGUCACUUAUAGAUGGAUCCGCGCCGCAUUAGCUAGUUGGUAAGGUAACGGCUUACCAAGGCAACGAUGCGUAGCCGACCUGAGAGGGUGAUCGGCCACACUGGAACUGAGACACGGUCCAGCCUCCUACGGGAGGCAGCAGUAGGGAAUCUUUCGCAAUGGGCGAAAGCCUGACGGAGCAACGCCGCGUGAGUGAAGAAGGUCUUCGGAUCGUAAAACUCUGUUAUUAGGGAAGAACAAAUGUGUAAGUAACUAUGCACGUCUUGACGGUACCUAAUCAGAAAGCCACGGCUAACUACGUG